CAUGGCUCAGGACGAGGUUCCUACACCCAGCGAUCCCCCUAUCAGGAGGCGAGAAACCAGUCCCCCUUCUUCCCUUCUCGCGGAAAGCCAUGGCGAUCCAGAGGCUUCAGAGGGAACUCCGCUUCCAGACGCCCUUACGGUAAGCUUACAUCUACCUCAUGUUUCUUCCCAUAUUUGUGUAGGGGGCAGACUCCGUCAUUUUUUACAUACUUGGUCAGCCAUCACCUCCAAUGCUUGGGUUCUGGCCACAGUUCGGGGUUUUCACAUAGAAUUG
This is a non-coding RNA of Pelobates cultripes (western spadefoot toad), 274 nucleotides long. Lineage: Eukaryota; Metazoa; Chordata; Amphibia; Anura; Pelobatidae. The record is from the annotation of a GenBank genome assembly.